AGUAGGUCAGCAUCUUUCACACUCCUCCUCCUCCUCCUGGUGCACAGAAGAGGCAGAUGCACAAGCAGUGUUUGAAGUCCACAGGACCUGGUGAAAUUUUCAGUGACAAAAUCCUUCCAACUCCAAUUCUGCUGAGGAAGGCCUUCACACCGAGAUGCUGAUUGCUGAAUUGUUCCAGUUCUGCAUGCCUGUAAUCCAUCCAGAUCUCAGGGCACCUGAUCACUUGAGAGGCCGAGGGGACAAGGAGCAUCUGUCUCUCACCACCUGCCACUGAACCACAGUGCAAGCUGCAGCCACUUCAUGUGCCACCAGACUUGUCACUGAAAGAGGAUUUCCCAAGGCUGCCCUACAACACCAACACUGCUGACAGCCAGAUAUUUCAAGCCAGGGCUUCUCUUCAAACAGCUCUGCAGAGUUGCACAGGAAUUUCAGUCCUUUAACACUCAGAAGAAGAGGUCUGGUGACUCCUACAUGAAAGGUCCUCCACAGGACUCUCUCCUCCCCUGGAGAAAUGCCUUUUCUAUUGCCAUCAUGCUGCCUCUGCUUGUCCAAUAAAACCUUUUCUGCAGGUCUUACUUUCAAAUUCCUGUCAAAGAUGAGGGUGUUAAAUAAGUUACAGACACACAAAGUGCAAAAGCAAAGGAUAAGUCAUGCAUUGGGAUGGUUUUAUUGCUGCCACAGGACAUUUAAGCUCAGAAAUACUCUGAUUUCUAGCCCCAGACCUCUAAGGAUUUAUUGCUGCCCUGCACCUGAAAUAAAUUCUGCUGCUGCAAUGAUCAUCAAACGGGGAGAGAAAAAUCCCUGCCCAGCCUGAAGGUGAGAGUAGCUGGGAAAUGCAGCACCAGCCUACAGGAGCAGAGGUGAUUUUGUGUAGGAGGAUCUGCUCCCUCCUUCCUCACACUACAACUCAGUCUGAGCAAGUACAUGCUCACUGUGAAUGGAAAUUUCCAUCUCAUAAAUCACCUGCAUCCUGACAAGUUUAUUAAAAACUAAGAAGGGAAUUGGAGUAGAUUUUUUUUCCCACUUCUAUUUACCUAUACCAAACAGAAACCCCCUGUGGGUUUGUUUGCACUCAUUUCUCUGAACCUAUCCAUCACAACCUGAAUCUAAUCUGGUUACCCUUUUCCCCACCUGCAAAAUUAUGGCACAGCAAACCAGAUUCACAGAGGAAGAUACAAACCAUUCUGUCUUUAUAGCACCUUUCUAACACACAGGAAAUGAGGAGUAAUGAAGAACCAUC
Long non-coding RNA from Zonotrichia leucophrys gambelii, 1240 nucleotides. RefSeq lists it as uncharacterized. The transcript has 4 exons. NCBI's taxonomy places the organism in Eukaryota, Metazoa, Chordata, Aves, Passeriformes, Passerellidae. The record is from RefSeq and is a predicted model, not a curated record.